CCUACGGGAGGCAGCAGUGAGGAAUAUUGGUCAAUGGGCGGAAGCCUGAACCAGCCAAGUAGCGUGCAGGAUGACGGCCCUACGGGUUGUAAACUGCUUUUAUACGGGAAUAACGCGCCUUACGUGUAGGGCUUUGCAUGUACCGUAUGAAUAAGGCCCGGCUAAUUCCGUGCCAGCAGCCGCGGGAAUACGGAAGGUCCGGGCGUUAUCCGGAUUUAUUGGGGUUAAAGGGAGCGUAGGCCGCAUGUCAAGCUUGCUGUGAAAUGUCCGGGGUCAACCCGGGCCUUGCAGCGCAAACUGGCGUGCUUGAGCCCGCGGGAAGCAGGCGGAAUUCGUGGUGUAGCGGUGAAAUGCUUAGAUAUGACGAAGAACCCCGAUUGCGAAGGCAGCUUGCUGGAGCGGAACUGACGCUGAUGCUCGAAAGCGCGGGGAUCGAACAGGAUUAGAUACCCGAGUAGUC
RNAcentral lists this ribosomal RNA (460 nucleotides) under uncultured bacterium. RNAcentral describes it as "partial 16S ribosomal RNA". It matches the Rfam family "Bacterial small subunit ribosomal RNA", at positions 338 to 795 of the family's 1533-position model. The record is from RNAcentral.